This is a long non-coding RNA of Rosa rugosa (rugosa rose), 1039 nucleotides long. RefSeq lists it as uncharacterized. The transcript is spliced from 3 exons. Lineage: Eukaryota; Viridiplantae; Streptophyta; Magnoliopsida; Rosales; Rosaceae. The record is from RefSeq and is a predicted model, not a curated record.
AGUUGUAGAGCGCGUCGAUACGAGUUCGUGGACAUAUGGAACGCAAUAUUCGGAGUUCGUAUGAAUAAGUUACGAAUAUUUGAAAAUUGGGAUUUUCUAUAAAUAUGAAAAAAAAUCCGAAUAUUGCAAAUGAGGACAGAAUUUCUGGAACUCCAGAAAUUUCUCCCCAUUUCUCUCCCGAGCCCAGCCGCGACCCCCUCCCUUCGUCACCUUCGUUCUUCCUCAUCCGGCCACCGAUUGAUGUGAAACAAAGUGGGGUUUUCUGGUCUCGACCCCCUUUACGAGUUUGUAGAAGAAAUCGAAGUGAAAUACGAGCUGUAUGAGGCUCUACAAGGUCGAGAAGAGAGCCUCGUCGGAGACGAAAUCGCUCUUCCCCACUUUUUCUGGGCUCUACUUUGUCUGGUCAUAUCUUCCUCUACAGGCCUCCGAUCGACCUGAUUCCAAAAGCAAUUUUUCUCACCGUGAAGUUUUCUACAACUUUCCAGAAGACAUCGACUUGAGAUAACCAUCGUGGUGGCCGCUAGAAGACCGAGAAGCCGCACAGCCCGAGCUGGAAAUCGUCUUCCUUCGCCACCUUGGUUCUCCCAGCUCCGGCCACUAUAGCUCGAGUUCUUUGAGGUCUUUUCUAGUCCAGAGGAAGUAGAAGCUAUCCCCAAGAAGGCUUGCAGCGAUUUGAUCCGGGGUGAUCGAAUUUUGAAGAUUGGGAAACUAGGGUUCUUCGGGUUUCAAAACUUGCGAGGUGAUUGACGAAUCGAGUUGGUGGACGAUUCAGAUGGAUAUGUGGCUUUUAGAAGACGCAGCUGGAAUUGGAGCGGGUAAUCCUACAGGACAGGAGAACCAGGACGGUGAUCGUGCGGUUAAAGCAAUUGUUAGAGUUUUACAGCAAUUGUAAGUUGCGAGGUGUGUUAUGCUCAUUUGAGCUUUACAAUAUUACUUGUGAGAGUGAAUUGUAAUAAUGAACUCGAAGUUUCGAGAUUUGGAUUUUGUAAUUGUAAUUAUUCAUGUUUCGGAUUUGAAUUUAUUAUUCAAAAUUCGGGGC